This 4106-nucleotide long non-coding RNA is filed under the name Hordeum vulgare. RNAcentral's name for it is "long non-coding RNA (HVUL_LNC013337)". The record is from RNAcentral. Lineage: Eukaryota; Viridiplantae; Streptophyta; Magnoliopsida; Poales; Poaceae.
GAUACAUAGUGUUAUAAGAGAACUUAGUGUUGCUACAUAAUGCUCUAAGAAAUUUAACAUGGAUUAUUUAUACAAUGAGGGAAGUAUAUAGCGAGAGAUACAUCAUAUAGAUGGUUGUGAUUAUGAAGCGAUAAUCAUAACAUAGAGCCUUCACUGUAGGUGCCAUCGGUAUAAAAAAUGACUUCUUUGUCUAAGCAUCUCUUCAUAAUGGGUGUUAUCGAUGACCAGCAAUAUAUUUUGCUUGUGACAACAUAUGCAUAUUAAAUAACUUUCUAUUAUUGAUCUAUCAUCCGAGUAAUGUUAGACAUGUAUUGGUUGAUAACACAUAUAACGGCAUACCAAAGACACUUCUCAUUAUUAACUUCAACUAAAUCAAAACUUGAUGUGUAUCAAGAGCAGUAGUAUUAGAGCUGACCAAGCUUCCAAACCAUGCGAGUAAAAUUAUUUAAAGACCCACUAUAAAAUCCUUGAAGCAUAAAGAAAUAGAUAUUUAGGUAUGAUGUUCAUACAAAGUGUUAUAUAUUUCCUUGCAUCAUAGUUUUAUAGGCAAACACCUAAUAAAAAAUAUAUAUAAGAAAGAGAGUAAUUUCGAUAAAAUACAACUCUUUCUCACUGUUACAAGUAUUAUAUCCCUGUCAAAGCCAUGGUGGUAGUCAUUGUUCUUAUAUAUAAAGUUCUUUAUAUUAAUAAUACAAAAUAAUAAUUACAUCAAUCUGCUAUACUAAUUGAUUCUCUACUCCCCAUCAAUCCGCUAUACUAAUUGAUUCUCUACUCCCCAUCAAUCCGCUAUACUAAUUGAUUCUCUACUCCCCAUCAAUCCGCUAUACUAAUUGAUUCUCUACUCCCCAUCAAUCCGCUAUACUAAUUGAUUCUCUACUCCCCAGGUAUUUUCCGCUUCCACGAUUGACAUCUGCAGCAUGAGAGAGAGAGAGAGAGAGAGGUGUUCGAUGGAGAGAGCGUCGAGGCAGUGGCAGCAGGCAGGACACGAGAGGGCGGCUGCAAGGGGUGAGGAGGGAACGAAGAAAGUGAGUGAUCCAAGUGUGCCCGACCACGCCGACGCAGACCGACGCUCGGUCGGCGACUCCCACUCCUCUUUCCACUCUCUUCUCCCCUCCUUACAUUCCUUCUCUCUCCCUCUCAUCUUCUUUGUCUCCUGCAUGGACCGAUCCAUGGCGCUGCAUCGAAUCGAGCAUCGUCGUCGUCGCCCAUUGCCUGCUGGUCACCGCCGCCGCCGAAAAAGCUCGCCUCCGCGCCCCAUGCCUCGGAUGCUCCUCAUGCAUCUGCCCCCUUGCUCUCCUCGCUGUGCUCACGCCCCGCAAACCACGUGCUUGUGCCGACGGGGAGAGUAGAGGAGUAGACGACCACGACCUCCUCCUCCUCACGCAUGUGCCCCUCCCUCCGAUCCAUGGCGCUGCAUCGAAUCGAGCGUCCCCGUCAUCGCCCAUGGCUUGCAGGUCACCGCCGCCGCCGAAGAAGCUCGCCUACGCGUCCGCAUGCCUCGGAUCCGGCAGGCGCGCUGCCCCCUGGUCCUCCUCCUCAUGUAUCUGCUCUCUUCAUCUCCUCGCUCUCCUCACGCCCCGCGAUAGUGUCCUGAUCACUCGAACCCAUCUGGGUGGAGAACACCUAAUUUAGGUGGUCAGAUCCUUAUAUAACAGUAAGUUCACCAUGUCAGCCUAGUAAAAUCCAAUCUAAACACCAUGAAAUUUACAGAAUAAAAUACAAACAAGCAUGCUCAGUUAAAUCCUGCCUAUAGAUUAUAGAACUGUGAAAUGCCUAAACGAUGAUAUGCUAACACCUUCUACAAGCAUUCUGUCACUUAGCUGGUGUCAAAAUAACAACACAAUCAGCCAUGUUUAUCAAUAUAGAAGUUAUGUGGUUGUGUCGAUAUAAAAGACGCUGCACAAUAGUACCUUGGGUGGCAUCAGGAAGAUAGCCUUUCUGGAGGUGGCUCAGGCUUGUCCUGCAAACAACCCAUUAUAUAUAUCGGCAACAAACCAUGCGCGUGUGCGCGCACGCACACACACAUACAAGGAAAGAGAACCAUUGUUCUUCAGUUAUUUCCAUGUAAACAGAUUUUGAACGACAAUGUGAGAACAUGAGGACAUAAAGAUCACAAACAACAGUACAGGAAACAUAAACAUUCAUGUAGCGACCCUGUUAAAUAUUGUUCCCACUCAGCAGCUAUCCCAUAGAUAGAAAGGCGAACAACAAGGAACACAUGUAUGAGAUAAAUGGUGACCUACAGUCUUAUGUAGGCGCAUCAAUAAACUACACAACAUUCUUGGAGAAAAUAGAGAAUGCAAGAAAAUACAUACAAAUGCAUUGAGUCAAUAAUCAAAUAACAUACUUCUUAUUGUCUAUUUUGCUUGUAAUAACAAAGCCAAAACCAUUUGCUAUUUCAAACGUAAACUCACGCAUCUCUUUUACAAAUCAGACAAGAGCACCUACCAUCAAGAGCAGCCUGAAACAACGUCAUGAAGCAAGAAACAACAGUGGCACUAAAAACAUACUUUACUUUUGUAAGUGCGAACUUCUACUUCCAUCCAGCGACCAAAUUAUAGGACUGCCUUCUGCAAGGAUUUGAAGAAAAGAGUUACCCCAAAUGCAGACUUCUACAUAUGAGAAACUGCAACAACCUGCUUGUCCUCUUGUACAAAUUCCUCAUAUGAACAAUCAUAUUUCCAUGUGUAAAAUAUAAAUACAAAAUACUGGUUAUUCUACCCAUACAAGACAAGCUGAAGAAUAAUAAUCUAACCUUUCAUGGAUCACCAUAAUAAAAGCUAUUGUAGAAAAUAAUUUGGGCAAUCAAUUUCUGUGAGACCAAAAAAUGCAAGAAAAGCCGAUUAGUUGGGUCAGAAUAUUGCACCACUCGAUCAUCUCGGCAUUAUAGUUGCAGCCACCCAUAAAAACCAUGAAUGCUUCACACUAAAUAGGCAUAUACAUCGGAAUUUAGAGGGGAAUCACCGGAUGUAGUGUGCUAUGAGGCUGUUGAACUUGGUUGUCAUGUUGUCACUGCGCUGGAAACCUCGCUGAAAAGAUUCAAGAAGAAGCACCUAGUUGAGAGAGGGAGGCAAGGUAGAUGAAGAGAUAGAUCGGGAUGGAGUACAGGAGGGGAAAGAGAAACGGGGGAGGAUGAGCAUACCUGCAGCGUUCAUGGACUCUGCGAAUAUAAACGGUGGCCGUUGUUGUUGUCCUCGCGAGAACCUGAUGGAUACCCAAACCCUAGGUGCAAAAUAAAAAUUAAUUUAGGGAGGAAGAAAUCAAAAGGAGGCUCUUACACAGGAGGAAGUCCAAGGAUGCACUGAUCCAACUCCCUUGCUGCGUCCACCAUUUUCGUGUAAAUAGGUGAAAAGUGGAAAAAGGAGAUGGGAUAGGGGCUCACCUAUUCAACAAUCUCAAUAAGGCCACGCUGCCGGCGGAGAGGAUGCAUCGACCCCUUCCCCUCCUCACCCUCACGCCCCGCGACCCGCGCGCUUGCGCCGACGGGAGAGGGGAGGAGCCCACGGCCACGGCCUCCUCCUCCUCACGCAUCUGCCACUACCUCUCCUCACGCCCCGCGACCCCGCGCCGACGGGAGAGGAGAGGAGCCGACGGCCACGACCUCCUCCUCCUCACGCAUCUGCCACUCCCUCUCCUCGCUCUUGCGGCUGCCCGGUCGCUUCUCAUUUCCUUCUUAUCUCGCAGGAUUUUUUUACCUCUCGCGCGACGCGCUUGGCGGCGGCGGGCAGCGAGGUCGUGCGGGUCCUGCGGAGCGUGGCGGCGGACGAGGGAUGGAGGGAGGAGGGAGGGGGCUGGUGUGCUGUGGAUUGGGGGCUGGGUUUAUACGCUAGCGUGAAAUGACGAAAAUGCCCCCGUCGGGGCAUGGAAUUUACAGGCGGUGGCAGGCCGGUGGCAAGCACUAUUCAUAGCGUUAUAGGAAGCAACGUGGAUGGCUUCCUCCUGGCUAGGAGUCUAGCAUCUUUUAUAAAGAGAAAUUAAUAGGCUGAGUUCUUAGGUGAUACAAUCUUUUAGAUGAAUAUGCCCAUAUAGUUGACCAUGCGUUUCUUCUCAUAAAUUCGCAAUUAAAAUAUAUCCGGAUCUGCCUCUCCUGCUACUUUCUAUGACCG